UAACGACUCUCGGCAACGGAUAUCUCGGCUCUCGCAUCGAUGAAGAACGUAGCGAACUGCGAUACUUGGUGUGAAUUGCAGAAUCCCGUGAACCAUCGAGUCUUUGAACGCAAGUUGCGCCCGAAUCCACUUGGACGAGGGCACGUUUGCCUGGGUGUCA
This 160-nucleotide ribosomal RNA is filed under the name Eugenia microphylla. RNAcentral's name for it is "5.8S ribosomal RNA". It matches the Rfam family "5.8S ribosomal RNA". From Rfam's summary of the family: 5.8S ribosomal RNA (5.8S rRNA) is a component of the large subunit of the eukaryotic ribosome. It is transcribed by RNA polymerase I as part of the 45S precursor that also contains 18S and 28S rRNA. Lineage: Eukaryota; Viridiplantae; Streptophyta; Magnoliopsida; Myrtales; Myrtaceae. The record is from RNAcentral.